CAACGAUGCCAUGCUAUAUGCAACAGAAAUAUAUGCAACAUGAAUAUAUGCAAUAACUAGUAGAAUUAUUGAUUCUACAAUCAAUCUCGCUAAUCUUAGCUCAUGUCAUCCAACUCUAAGGUUUCUACUACCUUAGGUUAUCACAUUUACCACUAGCCCUCAAGGUUCUAUCUACCUUAUUCCAGCUAGCCACCCGACUCGGCCUCGAGUCAAUCAACAGCGGAUAAUCCGCGCUCUGCCCGGCUCGAGGUGAAGGAUCCUGUCGCAUGCACCUCAGCCUGCAAGCCAAGAACCACAUCGCCCAACGGUCCGCCCGAAGGUCCGUGCACCGUGGUCAGGGAUCCGCCAGUGAGAGAGGAACAUAGCCGCGUACACCCAUAGCCAAGACCCCCGAUAGGGAGAGGAACAUGCCGCAUACACCCUAGCGCUCUUUGUUCUUGCUUAGUCACAAUCCUCAAAGUUCUUCCGGUGGGAGAGGAACAUGCCACAUACACCCGCGGUCCAAGAACUAUUGAGUUCACAAGUCUCGGGAUUCCGGAAUCCACUUCACAAGUCAAGGGUCCAUAUCCAACCCUAUGUUGUCGACCUAUCUAGGUCCAAUGCACUUUCCACCCUAGGUCCGACUGACUCUAGGUCUAAUGCCUCAAUUUCACAACCUAGGUUUACCCUAACUCUAGAUUCAGUUCUCAACCUAUAUUCUUUAACACUAGGUCAGAUGCCACACUCCUAGAUCCCAACUCUAGGUUCAUACUCAACCUAUGUUCUUUAACACUAGGUUAGAUGCCACACACCUAGAUCUCGACUCUAGGUUCAUACUCAACCUAUGUUCUUUAACACUAGGUUA
This 844-nucleotide long non-coding RNA is filed under the name Ananas comosus (pineapple). Its description in RNAcentral is "long non-coding RNA (ACOM_LNC017958)". Lineage: Eukaryota; Viridiplantae; Streptophyta; Magnoliopsida; Poales; Bromeliaceae. The record is from RNAcentral.